CCCUCUAGCGGCUGGCCGCCGCUCUAGUCCGCCCGCGCGGCGCGGCCGUAGUGUGGCCGUGCGUCCGCCGUCUUUCGUCGAGUUGUGCGCCGGAGGAGCCCGUCACAGCGAGGCGUCAGCACGGAUCCAGGCCCCGUGCGUUCGGGUGGCAGCGCGCGUAGCUGCUGAGGUCGGCGGGCGGCGGUCGGCGGCGCUCUGACACGGUUACGGGUACGGGGGCGGCGACAGCUGCCGAGAGGUCGCCGGCCCACUGCACUUCAGGAUAAUACUUUGGACGGCGAGCGUCGCAAGAUCGGCGGAGAUGGCGGCCGACGGCUGCUCGGCGAUCCCGUGCCUUUACCGCAUUACCGCGACGGCCACAGGUGUACCCUUCCCCGGCUUCCAGAACCCCUCCCGGCACGCGCCCGUCCCGUUUGGUAGUGGGCGCCUCUGCGACGUCCCCCCUCACCCAUCCCCGUCCCUCGCCGUCCCCUGCCGUGGCGUUCCGAAUGCUGUGCCUGAUCCUAACGUGAGUUUCCCGACGCUGUGCCUGCAUGCAAGAGUUGGCCCGUGCCCUGCGUCUGGUCGGAGCAGUGGCAUCACCGUGCUUUCAGUUGUUUGUUGCUGAGCGCUUGUAUACGUUAAAUAAUACAUGUUAUCUACCUUUA
Long non-coding RNA from Pollicipes pollicipes, 647 nucleotides. RefSeq lists it as uncharacterized. The record is from RefSeq and is a predicted model, not a curated record. The transcript is spliced from 3 exons. NCBI's taxonomy places the organism in Eukaryota, Metazoa, Arthropoda, Thecostraca, Pollicipedomorpha, Pollicipedidae.